GACGAACGCUGGCGGCGUGCUUAACACAUGCAAGUCGAGCGGUAAGGCCCUUUCGGGGGUACGACGAGCGGCGAACGGGUGAGUAACACGUGGGUGACCUGCCCUCAGCUCUGGGAUAAGCCUGGGAAACUAGGGUCUAAUACUGGAUAUGACUCCACGGUGCAUGUCGUGGGGUGGAAAGCCUUGUGCGGCUGAGGAUGGGCCCGCGGCCUAUCAGCUUGUUGGUGGGGUGAUGG
Molecule: ribosomal RNA, 236 nt
Filed under: uncultured bacterium
Lineage: Bacteria
Description: partial 16S ribosomal RNA
Rfam family: Bacterial small subunit ribosomal RNA
Source: RNAcentral